GCAUAUCAAUAAGCGGAGGAAAAGAAACCAACAGGGAUUACCUCAGUAACGGCGAGUGAAGCGGUAACAGCUCAAAUUUGAAAUCUGGGUCUUUUAGGCUCCGAGUUGUAAUUUGUAGAAGAUGCUUCGGGUGUGGCUCCGGUCUAAGUUCCUUGGAACAGGACGUCAUAGAGGGUGAGAAUCCCGUAUGUGACUGGUUGCCUUCGCCCAUGUGAAGCUCUUUCGACGAGUCGAGUUGUUUGGGAAUGCAGCUCAAAAUGGGUGGUAAAUUUCAUCUAAAGCUAAAUAUUGGCCAGAGACCGAUAGCGCACAAGUAGAGUGAUCGAAAGAUGAAAAGCACUUUGGAAAGAGAGUUAAACAGUACGUGAAAUUGUUGAAAGGGAAGCGCUUGCAACCAGACUUGCACGUUGCUGAUCAUCUAGGGUUCUCCCUAGUGCACUCGGUAACGUUCAGGCCAGCAUCGAUUUGAGUGGUGGGAUAAAGGCCUUGGGAAUGUAGCUUCUUUCGGGGAGUGUUAUAGCCCUCGGUGCAAUGCCGCCUACUCGGAUCGAGGACCGCGCUUCGGCUAGGAUGCUGGCGUAAUGGUUGUAAGCGACCCGUCUUGAAACACGGACCAAGGAGUCUAACAUCUAUGCGAGUGUUUGGGUGUCAAACCCAUACGCGUAAUGAAAGUGAACGGAGGUGAGAACCCUUAAGGGUGCAUCAUCGACCGAUCCUGAUGUCUUCGGAUGGAUUUGAGUAAGAGCAUAGCUGUUGGGACCCGAAAGAUGGUGAUCUAUACUUGAAUAGGGUGAAGCCAGAGGAAACUCUGGUGGAGGCUCGCAGCGGUUCUGACGUGCAAAUCGAUCGUCAAAUUUGAGUAUAGGGGCGAAAGACUAAUCGAACCAUCUAGUAGCUGGUUCCUGCG
Molecule: ribosomal RNA, 907 nt
Filed under: Septocylindrium acutum
Lineage: Eukaryota; Fungi; Ascomycota; Dothideomycetes; Mycosphaerellales; Mycosphaerellaceae
Description: LSU rRNA
Rfam family: Eukaryotic large subunit ribosomal RNA
Source: RNAcentral